Molecule: non-coding RNA, 425 nt
Organism: Cheilinus undulatus (humphead wrasse)
Lineage: Eukaryota; Metazoa; Chordata; Actinopteri; Labriformes; Labridae
Source: the annotation of a RefSeq genome assembly
UCACAACUCAAGACACAGAAAUCCUCCUCAUCAUCACAAACAUGACUUUGAUCUGCGUCCUCAUCUGGACUCUCCUCUGCUGCUGCUUCACAGAGUCCAGAGGACAGGUCACAGUGACUCAGCCUGCAGCAGUGAGCUCUGCUCUGGGAGCCUCCAUCACCAUCUCAUGUAGGACCAGUCACAACGUUCGCCUGUGGAGCAACUAUCAUUUUGCAGCCUGGCACCAACAGAGAAAUGAAGAAACUCCUAAAAUGCUCAUAUACUACGCUAACAAUCGAGUCUCAGGGACUCCAGGUCGUUUUUCAGGCAGUGGAUCCCACUCUGACUUCACUCUGACCAUCAGUGGAGUCCAGGCUGAAGAUGCAGCAGUUUACUACUGUCAUGGUGCAUUUAUUGUGGGUGGCAAGUACAUCUACACACGGUGA